This 258-nucleotide ribosomal RNA is filed under the name Vibrio cholerae. RNAcentral's name for it is "partial 23S ribosomal RNA". It matches the Rfam family "Bacterial large subunit ribosomal RNA", at positions 2695 to 2925 of the family's 2925-position model. Lineage: Bacteria; Pseudomonadati; Pseudomonadota; Gammaproteobacteria; Vibrionales; Vibrionaceae. The record is from RNAcentral.
GAGUGGACGAACCUCUGGUGUUCGGGUUGUGUCGCCAGACGCAUUGCCCGGUAGCUAAGUUCGGAAUUGAUAAGCGCUGAAAGCAUCUAAGCGCGAAGCGAGCCCUGAGAUGAGUCUUCCCUGACAGUUUAACUGUCCUAAAGGGUUGUUCGAGACUAGAACGUUGAUAGGCAGGGUGUGUAAGCGUUGUGAGGCGUUGAGCUAACCUGUACUAAUUGCCCGUGAGGCUUAACCAUACAACACCCAAGGGGUUUUGUA